AUAAAUAACCAAAUGUUAUUUUUUGGUUGCUUUUAUAUCUUUUAGUAUAGUGUUUGUUAAGCGAAUUUACAUAUUAUUAUUAUUAGCCUAUUAUUAAAUCGUGUUAAAUGUAUUGCUUAAUUAAUAAUAAAUAGUCAAAAGAACAUAAUAAAAACUUCCUCCACUGCCUAUUGAAUGCGCUACACCCAGUCCAGUAGGAGGCGCUAAUGACCCUUCAGUUGCCAAUCGCCACUCAGGCCAAAAGCGCAGAAGAACAAAAAUGACCGGGAAAAUCUGACAGGACUGAGAAGAUGACAACAGCACAGCGGGGUUUUAGAAGCCCAUCAGAGUGAUUUUCUGAGUUCUUUCACAUAUGCUGUAUGGUCAGCGAAUGGAUGGAUUAUCCAGUCACGGUACAUAAUAAAAGACUUGACUGAGUUAGAAGAAGCUGAGCGACUCUUCAGAGUGAAGAUGUUAUGAUGCAGUUAUGUCAAAGCACUCGUUUCGGAUGGCCAGAUUGGAACAGAACCUGAAUGGGAAGAUGGCAGAGCUAAGACUGGCAAUUUCCAGGAAAAAUGUUUACUAAAAAUGAGUGUGUUUUUCCCCAGCGAGAGAGUUUGGGAAUGUUUUAAAUGUGUCUAGAAGUUUGAAAAUGUAAUACUGAGGGAAAAAAGUGAGCGCUUUGAAAAGGCUUUAAAAAGAAAAAAAAGUCUGAAGUUGAUGUGAAAUGAAGUUAAAGUUUUUACUUGAAAAGUUUGUACUGUACUUGUUUGUACUUGUCAAGUCUGUGCUGAAAAAAAUGCAGUAAAGGUUGUAUUUGAAAAGA
Paramisgurnus dabryanus is the source of this 805-nucleotide long non-coding RNA. RefSeq lists it as uncharacterized. Lineage: Eukaryota; Metazoa; Chordata; Actinopteri; Cypriniformes; Cobitidae. The record is from RefSeq and is a predicted model, not a curated record.